GAGUUUGAUCGUGGCUCAGAUUGAACGCUGGCGGCAUGCCUUACACAUGCAAGUCGAACGGCAGCAUGAUCUAGCUUGCUAGAUUGAUGGCGAGUGGCGAACGGGUGAGUAAUACAUCGGAACGUGCCCUGUAGUGGGGAUAACUAGUCGAAAGAUUAGCUAAUACCGCAUACGACCUGAGGGUGAAAGUGGGGGACCGCAAGGCCUCAUGCUAUAGGAGCGGCCGAUGUCUGAUUAGCUAGUUGGUGGGUAAAGGCCCACCAAGGCGACGAUCAGUAGCUGGUCUGAGAGGACGAUCAGCCACACUGGGACUGAGACACGGCCCAGACUCCUACGGGAGGCAGCAGUGGGGAAUUUUGGACAAUGGGGGCAACCCUGAUCCAGCAACGCCGCGUGUGUG
RNAcentral lists this ribosomal RNA (400 nucleotides) under uncultured microorganism. RNAcentral describes it as "bacterial SSU rRNA". It matches the Rfam family "Bacterial small subunit ribosomal RNA", at positions 9 to 407 of the family's 1533-position model. The record is from RNAcentral.